Molecule: unclassified non-coding RNA, 376 nt
Filed under: uncultured Spongiibacteraceae bacterium
Lineage: Bacteria; Pseudomonadati; Pseudomonadota; Gammaproteobacteria; Cellvibrionales; Spongiibacteraceae
Description: contains 16S-23S intergenic spacer region
Source: RNAcentral
UCCGGUUUGUCACCGGCAGUCUCCCUAGAGUUCCCAACUAAAUGAUAGCAACUAAGAACAAGGGUUGCGCUCGUUACGGGACUUAACCCAACAUCUCACGACACGAGCUGACGACAGCCAUGCAGCACCUGUCUCUGCGCUCCCGAAGGCACCCUCCCAUCUCUGGAAGGUUCGCAGGAUGUCAAGACCAGGUAAGGUUCUUCGCGUUGCGUCGAAUUAAACCACAUGCUCCACCGCUUGUGCGGGCCCCCGUCAAUUCAUUUGAGUUUUAACCUUGCGGCCGUACUCCCCAGGCGGUCUACUUAUCGCGUUAGCUGCGCCACCAAGUGAUCAAGUCACCCAACGGCUAGUAGACAUCGUUUACAGCGUGGACUAC